RNAcentral lists this long non-coding RNA (1292 nucleotides) under Carassius auratus (goldfish). RNAcentral's name for it is "lncRNA (ENSCARG00000000258.1)". The record is from RNAcentral. Lineage: Eukaryota; Metazoa; Chordata; Actinopteri; Cypriniformes; Cyprinidae.
GAUUAAGUUAUACAAUGAUGUAUAAUGGGCUUUUGACAAAUCCUCAAACUACCAUUUCCUUCCAAACAGAAAUCUCAGAAACUUCCUAUGCUGUGGUCUUUACUUUCAACGUGAUUAACAUCAGCAUGCCAGAGGACCCUGUGUCUAGAGGCAAAAACCACCCAGCAAGUGCAAGAUACCAUCAAUAAUGCGGUAAACUAAAAAAAUAAUAAACAGUAUAAUAUGUCUUAGGUUCAAUGCCAGUCUUCUCCAGAAGCUUAUAAUGGUUGAUUUUCCCUUUCAGCUGAACACUCUUCUGAAUGAACCUGGCAGUCCAACUUUACAACCCAAGACCGCCAACUUCACGAUCACUUCAAACCAGAUUGAUGGCAAGAUGGAAUACAGCUUCCAGGAUGGAGAUGUCAUACAACCAGUCAGCUUCCUCAAUGAGCUACGUCAACCAACCACUACAACAGUGUUUCCAGAAACAACAGCCAGUGUUUCUGUUACUACUCCCAACCUCAUGUAAAAUUUGGUUUUCUAUUUUGGAGAAAUCAUAAAUGUACAAGUCAUCAUUUCAAUAGAAAAAAUGGAUGUACAUUAAACAAAGUGGUUAUAUUUACAGAUCUGGUUCAGCAGUGGUCACAAGCAAGCUGGUGUUCAACUCCUCAUCUCCAGUGCCCAGUGAAUCUCUGGUCCUCAGUGCUAUCAAUACUCUCCGUCAUUCCAGAGAGUCACAGCUCAAUGAAUCGGUGAAGGUGCUGAAUGUCACCUAUGAGAAAAUCUCAGAAACUUCCUAUGCUGUGGUCUUUACUUUCAACGUGAUUAACAUCAGCAUGCCAGAGGACCCUGUGUCUAGAGGCAAAACCACCCAGCAAGUGCAAGAUACCAUCAAUAAUGCGCUGAACACUCUUCUGAAUGAACCUGGCAGUCCAUCUUUACAACCCAAGACCGCCAACUUCACGAUCACUUCAAACCAGAUUGAUGGCAAGAUGGAAUACAGCUUCCAGGAUGGAGAUGUCAUACAACCAGUCAGCUUCCUCAAUGAGCUACGUCAACCAACCACUACAACAGUGUUUCCAGAAACAACAGCCAGUGUUUCUGUUACUACUCCCAACCUCAUAUCUGGUUCAGCAGUGGUCACAAGCAAGCUGGUGUUCAACUCCUUAUCUCCAGUGCCCAGUGAAUCUCUGGUCCUCAGUGCUAUCAAUACUCUCCGUCAUUCCAGAGAGUCACAGCUCAAUGAAUCGGUGAAGGUGCUGAAUAUCACCUAUGAGAGUAAGUGUCAUAAUUUUCCCUUCAAAAGAUUUUAA